RNAcentral lists this ribosomal RNA (200 nucleotides) under uncultured bacterium. RNAcentral's name for it is "partial 16S ribosomal RNA". It matches the Rfam family "Bacterial small subunit ribosomal RNA", at positions 8 to 204 of the family's 1533-position model. The record is from RNAcentral.
AGAGUUUGAUCCUGGCUCAGGACGAACGCUGGCGGCGUGCCUAAUACAUGCAAGUCGAGCGAAUCUUUGGGAGCUUGCUCCUGAAGAUUAGCGGCGGACGGGUGAGUAACACGUGGGCAACCUGCCUGUAAGACUGGGAUAACUUCGGGAAACCGGUGCUAAUACCGGAUAAUUCUUCUCUUCACAUGAAGGGGAGCUGA